This 2586-nucleotide long non-coding RNA is filed under the name Malus domestica (apple). Its description in RNAcentral is "long non-coding RNA (MDOM_LNC016798)". The record is from RNAcentral. Lineage: Eukaryota; Viridiplantae; Streptophyta; Magnoliopsida; Rosales; Rosaceae.
AACCUUCUUAGGCUAAAUUCGAAUACCUUGGUUCCGUUUGUGAAGUCUGAUUGAUGAAAUUCUGUCAUUUGAACUUAGUUCCAUUAAGGUUCGCCACUUGAUUAUUACAGCAACCGAUGAUCCUACCGUUAGAUCGUCAUUAAAUUUUAAUAAAUUAUAGUACAUAAUAUUUAAGGAUAUUAGAAACUUACGGAUUGGGAAUUUGAUGUGCGAAUCUUACCAAAUUGGAUUUGUAAGUUCGUAAAAUAAAAUGUUAACCACUACUUAAAUUGGCAAUUGGAGGAGAUCCAACCGUUGGAUUGUAAUGAAACUUUAGUAUGAUGUCUUAGAAGCACAAUGUGGAUUUUUGGAAUUACGGAUCAGAAAUCUAAAAUGCGGAUCUUCUGGAUCGAGUUACGUAGGGUUGUGGACCCUACCAUCGAUCUUUGACUGACGAUUGACUUUUGGUUAAUGGGUCCUAAAUCAUUCUAGAACGUCUUUGGGGAUAUGUUUUAUGUAAGUUACAUAUUUAUUGAUAAGAACUCUGAGAUGUGACUUGAUAAUUGUUAUAGGCGACGAUGGUUCGUGAUGUCUCGAUUUUUGUGCUAAGGAGUCGUAGCACGGACCUCAGGUGAGUGGGUCUUUCCCUUUUAUCGUAUAUAGAUAUGACUGAUAAUUCCACAAAUGCUUUUAAAUUGUUCUAUGCAUUUUAUGCCAUGUUAUAUAUAUAUGUUAAAAUACUAUGGUAUGGUUGAGUUUUAGAUUGCAUUAUGGUAUAUCUAUAUGCAUAUUAUCGGCAUAUAAUUACUGUGAUUGGUUUGAAGUACUAAGUUGAACUACGAAUGGCUUGAUCCCGUUUAAGGUUACAUAGGCAGUCUAACACGACAGUUAGAUGCAGCCAUAAAUAAUCCAAAUUUAACAUGGUACUUGAUUUCCUUAAGGAAAGAAGUUAUUAUGGUUAAGUUCAGAUUAAAAACGUUAAGACGGUAAAGUGGUUAUGCCAAAUGACGUUGCAGAUGCCCAGGUAAGCUUCAGGUAGGUACAUAUUGAUGAUAGUGAUUUCAGUGUGUAUGGUUAUGUUUUUCUGCAUUUAACACUCAUUAUCAUGCACCUUGGUGUUAGUGCUCCGCCCGAGGAUAGGGUUUAGCCUUCAUGUGAUCAUAGCACUUGAGUAUAUUUAUUUACACCCAGCCUGUCGUACAAACCACAUUAAGUGGUUCUGACUCGUGUGCAGGAAUUAGUAGAUGAGCUAUAUAGGCAACUCCAACAUUGUGUGCUAGCAUUGAUUGAUGAGAUAUGGAUGAGUCGUACAGGUCACUAUAGGUGACUCCGACUUUUGUGCUAGCAUUGAUUGAUGAGAUAUGGAUGAGUCGUACAUGUCACUAUAGGUGACUCCGACUUCUAUGCUAGCAUUGAUUGAUGAGAUAUGGAUGAUUCAUAUAGAUCAUUAUAGGUGACUCCGACUUAUGUGCUAGCAUUGAUUUAUUGAGCACAUGAUUAUUUAUGAGAUGCUCUGUCGUGGUAUAUUUAUGGAUUUACUGUUGAUAUACUUUUGAUUUUACAUUGAUUCGUAGUAUGAUUUUUUUUUUUGGAAACUAUACAGGUGUCACAGCGAGGGGUUAUAACGAUUUAGAAGGUUUUUAUUAAAAUUUUAUUUCCAAUGCCACUCACCCUUGCUUUGUUUCCACCCUCCAGGUUUUUUUUUUUAGUUGAGCUUUCUUCUCAACAAGGAUUCGUGGCAAAUCUUGGUAUUGGAGAUUACCUUCGAUGGUAUGAUUCUCAAUCCACUCUACUGCACUUUACUUAUGCUCUGACAUCACGUGUGAAAUGGGUUCAUUUUCGCUCACAGCGCACUCUCGUAUUUAGGCACUUUUAGAUUUAAAUUUAUUCACAUUUUCCCACAUCACUACACUUUAUGGCUUCAUCACCCUCUUAGUGUCGGCCAGUACAACUCGAUUUGGAGUCCAGGUGGACUUUCCGAGUCGAGGUGUGUCAUCUUAUUAUUAGUCAAGCAGAAAAUAUAAAAUUAGAAAAUAAUAAGCAUAAUCAUUUGUUAAACCAGUUGUUAGAGCAUUUUCAGAAAAAUUCCAUAAAAACAAUUAGACAAAAUUUAGACUAUAUUACAUCUCAGUUAGAAGAUAAUAAUAAAAAUAUUCAAAAGUUUCCUAGCAAAAGAGAGAUAAAAGAGCUUGUUGACCUCAUACAUAGUAAGCCAAAGCAAGUAGAACUUAAAUCAUUAGAAGUAGUUGAGCAGUUAAAAUUAGAAGUCCAAAAAAUUCAAUUAGUGCAAAAAGAGCUAAGUGAACAAGUAGAUAAGUUGCAUAAUAAAAAAGAUAAAUUAUUAGUUUAAUUAUUAAUUUAAUGACCGAUUCUAGAACUAGCAGAAAAUAUAUCCAAGCCUUGAAAGAAAUUAGUAACUUAGAUAAAGAACCAAUAGGUUUAACAGAUUUUUCAGCACAAGUAUCCAGUAGUAAUAUUCCCAUUAGGCAAAAUAAUUUAAUUAUUCAAUUAGUUUUAAGUUUGGCUGAAAAAUUAGAUCAAGUUGAAUAACAAAUAGUAGAAAUAAAUCAAGUUUUAUAUAACGCAUCUUCAUCACUUCCACCAUUU